UUGGGAAAGCUGCACCCGGAGCCACGGGGAGGGGAGAUGAAAGGCGGGUGGCGGGCGUGGGCCGCCUGCAGCGCCAGGUGAGAGCUGGAAGCCCCACCCCGCGCCUGGGGACCAGCUGGCAUACUCCUGGCAGGACCCAUCGGGAGUAGAAAUUCGAGAAGGGAACCAGCCCUGAGUGAGCACCACGUGCACGCAUCCUGAAUGACUAGAGCUCAACAGCCUGACCAGAGCGGCUCACGGGAGGCAAGCCCACGCCCACUGCCCUCAGACAGAAACGCACAGCAAGGUCUGAAUCUACCUUAAAACAUCAGACGUGGUUUUGGAGUCAAGAGGAUGUGGAACCCGCUGAGAAUUCCUGGCAGGGAGAAGUUCGUCUGUCUGUGCUACAGAAAUGUGGUGAUGCAGCGAAGCCUGGUGAAAGAACAAAGACAGUUACCUUCCUGGUCUAGUCAACCAUGGGGCAGAAAUAAGGCCACGUCUACCAGAAGGAGAUGCUCUCUAAAGUCCUUUGUAGUCAGGGCUUCUAUUCUAAGUCCAUGAAUUUAAGCUGCUCAGUAACCCCAAUGUGAUCCCAAAUAACUCCAUAUCCUAGAGUAGAGGAGAAAAAAAAGCUAGCUUUGCAAAUGGACUGCAAAUAAUUAAAUAGCGUCCCUCUUCAGGUUUUCAUCUGUAGAAGGCUCCACAGUCGGGAUGUGGCUGACUGUGUCGUGGUGGUGGUCUUCGAUCCUGAUCCCCGUACUUCAUAACCGGCGCUGUGCCCUUCUUACAGUAUCACAUCCAAAGGCACCUGAUGUCUGCUGUCAUCAGCAGUAAUAUGACAGAUCCCUGGAUCCAGCAGGUACCAGCACGGUCCAUCUACUAUAAAGUUCCCCAUCAAUUUUUAAUGUAAUAGUUUUAGUAUAGUUUUACUUUAUUAAUUGUAAAAUAUAAGAAGAGGCAAUAUAAAUGCUUGAUUCUCCUUACUUUUUGAUUUUCUGAUUAAUGAGCUGCUGCUCUGGCACCUUCAAAAGGUGACGUAUAAAUGUUUUGUUUUUCAGCACAACUAUGAACCCAUAGAUUGAUAUCAAUCUACUGCCACCAUUGUUCAUUUUAAUGACUAAAUGAUCCCAUCCCUGGGCAAUGGGAACCCCUCCAAGUUGGCUACUGGGUCCUUUGAUAAGACUCUAAUAAUCUUUGGUAGCUUCCUUGCUUUUAGGCGUGACAAGAUGUCUCAGGUACACCUUGAAUACUUCUUACUUUAGCCCUGGAAUCAGUCAUUUCCUCAAAGAAAGAACUCUGGUUCUUUUGAAUGAUAAACAGUAUUGAGAAACCAUAAUUGUGUCAAUAAAGGUGUUUAUUGCUGCUAGGCUAUCAUGGCUCCUAAGCCUUUUCAGUAAACAGAGCUAAAGAAUGUGUACACUUUUUAGAGAGAGAGGAAAAGAUAAAUAAAUCUAGGUUCAGACUAGUAAUUCUAAUUGAGAGAUUGC
Long non-coding RNA from Balaenoptera ricei (Rice's whale), 1466 nucleotides. RefSeq lists it as uncharacterized. The transcript has 4 exons. The record is from RefSeq and is a predicted model, not a curated record. Lineage: Eukaryota; Metazoa; Chordata; Mammalia; Artiodactyla; Balaenopteridae.